GGAGAAAAGUUAAAGCGUAAAGCGGUGAAAGAUGGUCUCGCGUCCCAUUAGUUAGUUGGUGAGGUAACGGCUCACCAAGACUGCGAUGGGUAGCCGGCCUGAGAGGGUGAACGGCCACACUGGAACUGAGACACGGUCCAGACUCCUACGGGAGGCAGCAGUGGGGAAUAUUGCACAAUGGAGGAAACUCUGAUGCAGCGACGCCGCGUGAACGAUGAAGGCUUUCGGGUCGUAAAGUUCUGUCCUAGGGGACGAUAAUGACGGUACCCUAGGAGGAAGCCCCGGCUAACUACGUGCCAGCAGCCGCGGUAAUACGUAGGGGGCGAGCGUUGUCCGGAUUUAUUGGGCGUAAAGGGUUCGCAGGCGGUCUCUUAAGUUAGAUGUGAAAGAUCACGGCUCAACCGUGGUAAGCAUUUAAAACUGGGAGACUUGAGUUAAGGAGAGGAAAGUGGAAUUCCUAGUGUAGCGGUGAAAUGCGUAGAUAUUAGGAGGAAUACCAGUGGCGAAGGCGACUUUCUGGACUUAUACUGACGCUGAGGAACGAAAGCGUGGGGAGCAAACAGGAUUAGAUACCCUGGUAGUCCACGCCGUAAACGAUGAGUGCUAGGUGUCGGGGGUCAAACCUCGGUGCCGCAGCUAACGC
RNAcentral lists this ribosomal RNA (643 nucleotides) under uncultured bacterium. RNAcentral describes it as "bacterial SSU rRNA". It matches the Rfam family "Bacterial small subunit ribosomal RNA", at positions 192 to 858 of the family's 1533-position model. The record is from RNAcentral.